Molecule: ribosomal RNA, 338 nt
Filed under: uncultured Prevotella sp.
Lineage: Bacteria; Pseudomonadati; Bacteroidota; Bacteroidia; Bacteroidales; Prevotellaceae
Description: bacterial SSU rRNA
Rfam family: Bacterial small subunit ribosomal RNA
Source: RNAcentral
AGAGUUUCAUCAUGGCUCAGGAUGAACGCUAGCUACAGGCUUAACACAUGCAAGUCGAGGGGCAGCAUGACGAUUGCUUGCAAUUGUUGAUGGCGACCGGCGCACGGGUGAGUAACGCGUAUCCAACCUGGCCCUUAGUAGGGGAUAGCCCGGCGAAAGUCGGAUUAAUACCCUAUGUUUUCCAAUGAGGACAUCUGAGCUGGAACAAAGAUUUAUCGCUAAGGGAUGGGGAUGCGUCUGAUUAGCUUGUUGGCGGGGUAACGGCCCACCAAGGCAACGAUCAGUAGGGGUUCUGAGAGGAAGGUCCCCCACAUUGGUACUGAGCCAGGAUCAAACUC